AGGGUUCGAUUAUGGCUCAGGAUGAACGCUAGCUACAGGCUUAACACAUGCAAGUCGAGGGGCAGCAUUUUAGUUUGCUUGCAAACUGAAGAUGGCGACCGGCGCACGGGUGAGUAACACGUAUCCAACCUGCCGAUAACUCCGGAAUAGCCUUUCGAAAGAAAGAUUAAUACCGGAUAGUAUACGAAUAUCGCAUGAUAUUUUUAUUAAAGAAUUUCGGUUAUCGAUGGGGAUGCGUUCCAUUAGUUUGUUGGCGGGGUAACGGCCCACCAAGACUACGAUGGAUAGGGGUUCUGAGAGGAAGGUCCCCCACAUUGGAACUGAGACACGGUCCAA
This 336-nucleotide ribosomal RNA is filed under the name uncultured bacterium. RNAcentral describes it as "bacterial SSU rRNA". It matches the Rfam family "Bacterial small subunit ribosomal RNA", at positions 8 to 334 of the family's 1533-position model. The record is from RNAcentral.